AUGACCUUCCAAGUUUUAUUAAGAAGAGGAUGAUCCUAUUUGCGACAUAAUUCGAACAAUUCUUCUUGCGGGCAGCUCUUCAGCUGCUCUCGAGGUUUUGAUGGAGAAAGUGGUUCCUGCGCAGCCAUUAAUCUUGUUACAUUCUCAGAAUGCACAAGGACACUGUUAGAAAAUUCUGAUUCUU
RNAcentral lists this small nucleolar RNA (184 nucleotides) under Lachancea mirantina. RNAcentral's name for it is "Small nucleolar RNA snR45". It matches the Rfam family "Small nucleolar RNA snR45". The record is from Rfam by way of RNAcentral. Lineage: Eukaryota; Fungi; Ascomycota; Saccharomycetes; Saccharomycetales; Saccharomycetaceae.